This 253-nucleotide ribosomal RNA is filed under the name uncultured bacterium. RNAcentral describes it as "partial 16S ribosomal RNA". It matches the Rfam family "Bacterial small subunit ribosomal RNA", at positions 524 to 776 of the family's 1533-position model. The record is from RNAcentral.
UACGGAGGGCGCGAGCGUUGUCCGGAAUCACUGGGCGUAAAGAGCGCGCAGGCGGUCGUUCAAGUCGCGUGUGAAAGCCCCCGGCUCAACUGGGGAGGGUCACGCGAUACUGAUCGACUCGAAGGCAGGAGAGGGUAGUGGAAUUCCCGGUGUAGUGGUGAAAUGCGUAGAUAUCGGGAGGAACACCAGUGGCGAAGGCGACUACCUGGCCUGUUCUUGACGCUGAGGCGCGAAAGCUAGGGGAGCAAACGGG